CAGCCGCCGCGGUAAUACGAAGGGGGCUAGCGUUGUUCGGAUUUACUGGGCGUAAAGCGCACGUAGGCGGACUUUUAAGUCAGGGGUGAAAUCCCGGGGCUCAACCCCGGAACUGCCUUUGAUACUGGGAGUCUUGAGUUCGAGAGAGGUGAGUGGAAUUGCGAGUGUAGAGGUGAAAUUCGUAGAUAUUCGCAGGAACACCAGUGGCGAAGGCGGCUCACUGGCUCGAUACUGACGCUGAGGUGCGAAAGCGUGGGGAGCAAACAGGAUUAGAGACCCCUGUAGUCCCUGUCUCUUAUAC
Molecule: ribosomal RNA, 301 nt
Filed under: uncultured bacterium
Lineage: Bacteria
Description: partial 16S ribosomal RNA
Rfam family: Bacterial small subunit ribosomal RNA
Source: RNAcentral